RNAcentral lists this ribosomal RNA (395 nucleotides) under uncultured bacterium. RNAcentral's name for it is "partial 16S ribosomal RNA". It matches the Rfam family "Bacterial small subunit ribosomal RNA", at positions 360 to 772 of the family's 1533-position model. The record is from RNAcentral.
AAUAUUGCACAAUGGGGGAAACCCUGAUGCAGCGACGCCGCGCGAGUGAAGAAGUAUUUCGGUAUGUAAAGCACUGUCAGCAGGGAAGAAAAUGACGGUACCUGACGAAGAAGCCACGGCGAACUACGCGCCAGCAGCCGCGGUAAUACGAAGGGGGCAAGCGUUAUUCGGAUUUACUGGGUGUAAAGGGAGCGUAGGUGGCAAAUCAAGUCAGAUGGGAAAGCCCGGGGCUAAACUCCGGGAUUGCAUUUGAAACUGGUAUGCUAGAGUGCAGGGGGGGUAAGUGGAAUUCCUAGUGUGGCGGGGAAAUGCGUAGAUAUUAGGAGAAACACCAGUGGCGAAGGCGGCUUACUGGACUGUAACUGACACUGAGGCUCGAAAGCGUGGGGAGCAAA